Molecule: long non-coding RNA, 3018 nt
Organism: Vigna unguiculata (cowpea)
Lineage: Eukaryota; Viridiplantae; Streptophyta; Magnoliopsida; Fabales; Fabaceae
Source: RefSeq, a predicted model, not a curated record
UCCAUCUUUCUUCUUCAACUACUUCACACGACCACGACACAAUAUUUUUCGCACUUCCUAACAACAAUCUUACGCAUUUUGCUUUCUCCUUUGCUCUUGGCAACAUCAUUUUUCUCAGUCUUUCGCUCUUGGCAUAUAAGUUUGAAUUUUAAUCUCAGUGGUUCACUCUCUUUUAGGUUUUUGUUUGCACUUUCAUUUUCUCUUCUUGCUCUCUCUCUCCCCUCUCGUAUGCUUUCUCUGUGAUUCACAUUAUUAUUGUGAUUUUCACAUGUUAUGCUUUCUCCGUCACAUGUUCAUCGCAACAACUUAAAUUUGCUUACGAUAUGCGAUUAUUGGCUCAUCACAAGUUCAUUGUUUUUCUCCAGUUCACCGACGAAGACAGAGGGAGCGACAAGGGAAGCGUGGAGAUGUCGUGGUCAAAUGCGUCCAAGAAGAGCAAGUCGUUGAAGUUCAUUAAUAGAAUAUGAAUGCAAAAUUAGCAGUGCCCAACAGAUGCGAUUCAAUCGUGUGGUUAGUGGUGGUAUCUCCUCCAAAUUCUUACAUGCAUUCUGCUACUUACUCCCUCAUUUUCUAAAGAUGAUCGAAAGAUUUACAUAGUCUACAUGGGGGAACAUCCGAAGGGCAUGGAACGCACAGAGUCACUUCAUACUAUUACGAUUCAAAGUGUCAUCACCAGAGUUGCAGUAGAUACUUUGGUGCACAGCUACAAGAGUUUCAAUGGAUUUGUGGCAAGGCUGACCAAAGAAGAAUAAAAAGGAAUGAAAUGUAGUUUUAAUAUGAUUGUGAAUCUAUAACUAUAUAGAUGUAUACCUUUUGUGAAAAUUUGGAAUGUUUGGCAGGAAUGGACGGGGUGGUUUCUAUUAUUCCAAACAGAAUCCACAGUAUCCAAACAUCAAGGUCCUGGGACUUUCUUGGCUUCCCCGAAAAUGUCCAAAGAACAAAAGAAGAAAGUAACGUAAUCGUUGGAGUACUGGAUACUGGAAUUUGGCCUAAUUCCACUAGCUUCACCGACGGAGGCGUUGGUCCGCCACCACAAAAAUGGAAAGGAACAUGCCAGAACUUCACUUGCAAUAACCUACUGAUCCCAACAUGAAAAGUUCUCAAGUCUUGACCAAGUUCCUUCCAUUAAUGAUUGGUUACUUUGCUCUCUCAAUUCCUUCUGGUCUUAGCCUUUACUGGUUAGUAUAGGUUAACAAAUAACAUAUUGAGCAUUGGACAACAAGUAUGGCAUCAAAAUUUAGGAGGUUCCAAAAAUCCAGUGAGGCAAGUCCUAGAUGAUAUCAUAAAAAAUGACCGGAGCCAGGUUUAGAAGUCAAUAUCUAAGCUAAAUUCCACAAUAGCGGAAGAAGCCAGCCAAAGUGCGAAAACAGCCAGUCAGUCAAGUUCAAGUACAUGAACUAUAAAAUCAGAUGUUAUUGUACAUAUCUGAAGCGUUGUAAGAGUUCAGCAUCUAAGAGGCCAUAGAGCAUAUUGUAUCUUCUAAAGAGGUAUUAAAACCUUGUGCUUUAAGUCUUCUUGCUAGUGAAUAAUGAAAAUUUGAUAUUUCCCACUCUCAUGCUUGAUGGAGUUAGAUUUAAAUUAUUGGUUACUCUUAGCAGAUGAAAUGUGACUGGGGAAAACAUUGCAAGUAAUUCAUUGUCUAAAAUUAAAUUAUUUCUCCUUUAAAAGAAUAAAACACAGAUUGUUGUAUUUUAGUAGUCACGAGACGACAUCAUGUUUUCUUGUCACAGUGCAACUAGUUUGUUCUAACUUUCUAUUCUAGUCAACUAACAUACCCCUAUUAGCCUACCCUUAAUUAGACAAAGCAAAAUUUCAGUUAUUUAUUAGUAAUACUUGACAAAUAGACUAAGAGCAAAUUAUUAGUAAGGAUUCUUGUGAAAUGGAAUAGUGAUAACCAACCAAUUGAUGAUACCGGAGCAUUGUUGAAUAUGUUUUUAGGUCGUGUUGCAAGAAAUGUUAAUGCCUUUCCAAUCAGCUAUCAAAGUUGGAGGAAGAUUCCCAAUGAUUAGAAAGAAGAUAUUCUUAAGAAAACCAUUCAAACAACAACUAUGGCAACAAAGAGAUGAUGGAACACGUAAUAGAGAUGAAAUUAUUACAAUGUGUCCAGAAGGAAUGAAUAAAGACCAAUGAGCUUCUUUUGUUGACUACCGUUUAAAUUCAAGGACUAAGGUAAUAAAACUAUCUUUUCUAUUCUUUUAAGUGUUACUUCACUUAUUUUUAGUAAUUUUCUACAUAUAUGCUUAGGAAAUUGCCAAAAAAAAUAAGGAUAAUAGAAAGAAGCAAGCAGUUCCUCACACAAGUGGAUCGAAGAGCAUUGCACGAAAGAAGGAUGAGAUGGAGCAAGAGCUUGGUCGCAAAGUUAGUAGGGGAGAAGUUUGGAUAGCAACACAUAAACAUGCUAAUGGGGAAUUUGUGAAUGAUGGAGCAAGAGAGAUUGGAGAAAAAAUUAAAUCAUAUGAGACAAAUACAUCUUCCCUUUCACAAGAUAUAUCAAUUGAAGAUUCACUAGCUCAUGUUCUAGGAAGUAAAGAACAUUGUGAUCAUGUCCGAGGAAUGGGAUUGGGACCUUGCCUUUCUCGCGUGUUUGGAUAUACUAGGAAUUUUCAUUUUGGGACAUCCUCAUCUUGUCCUUCUUAUUCAGAAUUGCAAAAUCAGGUCACUGCAUUAAAGUCACAAUUGGAUGAACAAAAUAAACGAAAUGAAGAACGUGACAAAAGACUUGAUGUAAUCAUGAACUUCUUUUCUCAAAAUUAUCAAGGUUAAUUCCCUCCUGAGUUGACUAUGUUCAAUCCUACACCGGUUUCUAAUCAAGGAAGUGUGCCAACUAAUACAACAAGUUCUGGACAUGAGGAAAAUCAUAUGUGAUAGUUGAAUAAUAUAAUGUGGAAGUUAAUUGAAUCAUUUUAUGUUUUGAGAACCAUUGCAGUACUUCAUGAGAGUUUUUGCUGACUAAUAUUGUACUUGAAUUUGAAUUUGAAUUCAUAUAUUUGUUAUACUUUGAUAUACAUUUAGUCAUCU